RNAcentral lists this unclassified non-coding RNA (240 nucleotides) under soil metagenome. RNAcentral's name for it is "partial contains 5.8S ribosomal RNA, internal transcribed spacer 2, and large subunit ribosomal RNA". The record is from RNAcentral.
AACGGUCUAUACCUGCGGUACCUGCGGAGGGAUCAUUACUGAAUGUCGCCUUGAUGGGUUGUUGCUGGCUCUGAAAACCAGAGCAUGUGCACACCUGUCUUGACUUCUAUUCAUCCACCUGUGCACCUUUUGUAGUCUUUUUGGGGGCUGGAGAAAGCGGUGGCUUAGGCUGCUGUUGAACCUCCCACUGGAGGCUAUGAUUUUUACAUAUACCAUUUAGAAUGUAACAGAAUGUUGUCA